This is a long non-coding RNA of Pangasianodon hypophthalmus (striped catfish), 1616 nucleotides long. RefSeq lists it as uncharacterized. The transcript has 5 exons. Lineage: Eukaryota; Metazoa; Chordata; Actinopteri; Siluriformes; Pangasiidae. The record is from RefSeq and is a predicted model, not a curated record.
AUGAGGCACAGAGACGAAUCAGAGCUCACGAGUUCAUGUUUAGAGGAAGUGUUUGUGUGUGUGUGUGUGUGUGUGUGUGUGAGUGUGUGUGUGUGUGUGUGUGUGUGUGUGUGUGCAUGACUUUUGGCUUCAGCAUCAGUCCGACAUCUUUAUUAAUGCAGUGGAGAUGAAUAUGGAGCUGAGCUUCAUGGCGCAGAGGAAGUGGCCUGUCUCCUCCGCUUUUUGUUCCGCGAUAAUGAGCGAGCCAGAUGCUGGAGUGUGAAAGAGGAGUGUGUGUGUGUGUGUGUGUGUGUGUGUGUGAGGAGGAGGGACAUCACACCACAUCACUCCUGUCCUUCAUCUACACCAUCAACACGUCAGGGAGUAAAACCUCUUCACCACCACAUCACACCUCAUCAGUGCAGAGAUGAUCCUCCUUCAGCGUCCACACCUGCGAUCUGAACCCACACUGUUACUCUGAGCUUCAUCUUAUAAAACUACAUCUGUAAACAUCAUGUGCAGUUUCCAAGUCCUGGUUGUAGGACACAGUUGGACUGUCGAGACCUUUCUGGAAGUUCAGCGUCCCGCUGCUCUGUCUACAUCUGAACAACAAAAGGUGGAAGAAGAGGGCCUCAUCAACACCUCGAGCGGCGCCAUAAUUAACCGACUCCUGAGGUGGAUGAUAACAGGCUCAUGAUCUCCGCAGAGUUUACGCUGCCUUCAAGUCAGAAAUAUCAUAAUUAUGAGGUGAGCGCAGUUGAAUGACACGACAAUGCCAUAAUUACGACUCAGGAACUCGUUUCUGUCUAUGAACAAGUUCGGGGGCGUGUCAAUAACGAGAAGUCAUGGCGGCUGCUCACAUGAACAUGACGCUUACAGCAGGAGUAAAGAGAGAAACGGACAGCAGUGGAGAAGAUGGACAAGGACAGAGGGACAGAUUAGCUGAAGGUUACUGAGAGCGCAGAACAGCAGGAUGGACACGCAGUGAGACAACUGGAACUAUGCCAACCUCUUUCUCUCUCUCUCUCUCUCUCUUUCUCUCUCUCUCUCUCUCUCUGCUUGUCUCUCUUUCUUUGUCUCUCAAUCUGUGUGUCUUUCUCAGACACUGAAUUGGCAGCCACUUAGAGACAGGGAGAGAGUCAGAGAGAAUCAGAGAGAGACAGAAAGACAGAGAAAGAGAAGAGACAGACAGACAGUUAGAAAAGAGAGAGAGAGAGAGAGAGAGAGACUGACAUACAGAGAGUCAGAUAGAAAACGAGAGAAUCAGACAGAGACAGAAUGACAGAGAAAGAGGAGAACCAGAGAAAGAUAGACAGACAUACAGAUAGAAACAGAGAGAUAGAGAGUGAGAGAGAGAGAAUUCACUUUAAAAAAAAAAGUAUUGCAUCAAAAUUGGAUAAUUAAGGGCUCUUAUUUUCCAAAAAAAAAAAAAGGUUCUACUUGGAACCCUUUAUGUUAGAGAACCACUUUGUAGGGUUCCACCAGAUGAGCAAAGAACCUCUGGACUGUAAUUGACUGUGAUAAAUAAUGAAACUGUACAAUGUGUAUAAUGUUCAACAUCACUCAGUAUCAUGCCAUUCCUCACAUUCCUGAAGGGUGCCAAUAAUUCUGCACUAUGCUUUUGAUUAUUGUAAAUA